CUCUUCUUUAUAAAAAGCCUGUACAGUCGUAGCCAAAAGUUUUGAGAAUCACAUAAAAUAUUGGAUAUUGGAAAUGUUGCUGCUUGAAGUUUUUAAAAUAGCAAUUUGCAUAUACUCCAGAAAUGUUAUGAAGAGUGAUCAGAUGAAUUACAUAGUCCUUCUUUGCCAUGAAAAAUUAACUUAAAUCCCCAAAAAAAUAACUUUUCACUGCAUUUCA
Long non-coding RNA from Bufo bufo (common toad), 217 nucleotides. RefSeq lists it as uncharacterized. The transcript is spliced from 3 exons. Lineage: Eukaryota; Metazoa; Chordata; Amphibia; Anura; Bufonidae. The record is from RefSeq and is a predicted model, not a curated record.